GUAACGCACGACUUUGGAUUGUUCUCCAUCAUCACUGAUCAUGGUAACCAGGAGAUCACCAGAGGUGGUACUGCAGACAUAGAGAGAUAUUCAUAAUAUCGAGUGCCUGGGACCGGACAAUACCGGAUAUUCUAUACAGUUGGUCACGUGGGACUGUGUGGUGAUCUUCAGCAAAGUUCUAUCAUUUGUUUUUUCAGAAUAAAUGAAUACUUAUUGCAUCAACA
Molecule: long non-coding RNA, 224 nt
Organism: Ostrea edulis (European flat oyster)
Lineage: Eukaryota; Metazoa; Mollusca; Bivalvia; Ostreida; Ostreidae
Exons: 2
Source: RefSeq, a predicted model, not a curated record